UUCGACCCCUCGUGCGGCGUCACCUCGCUCAACUCCCCCAGGGCCGGAAGGCAGCAAGGGUCGGCGGGCUCUGUCGGGUGCGCGAGGGGUCCUCACA
RNAcentral lists this signal recognition particle RNA (97 nucleotides) under Acidothermales bacterium. RNAcentral describes it as "signal recognition particle sRNA small type". It matches the Rfam family "Bacterial small signal recognition particle RNA". Rfam says of the family: The signal recognition particle (SRP) is a universally conserved ribonucleoprotein involved in the co-translational targeting of proteins to membranes. Archaeal SRP consists of a 7S RNA and homologues of the eukaryotic SRP19 and SRP54 proteins. The record is from RNAcentral. Lineage: Bacteria; Bacillati; Actinomycetota; Actinomycetes; Acidothermales.